Molecule: ribosomal RNA, 462 nt
Filed under: uncultured bacterium
Lineage: Bacteria
Description: partial 16S ribosomal RNA
Rfam family: Bacterial small subunit ribosomal RNA
Source: RNAcentral
GACGAACGCUGGCGGCGUGCUUAACACAUGCAAGUCGAACGGAAAGGCCCUUCGGGGUCCUCGAGUGGCGAACGGGUGCGUAACACGUGGGUGAUCUGCCCUGCACUUUGGGAUAAGCCUGGGAAACUGGGUCUAAUACCGAAUAGGACCGCGCGCUUCAUGGUGUGUGGUGGAAAGCUUUUGCGGUGUGGGAUGGGCCCGCGGCCUAUCAGCUUGUUGGUGGGGUAAUGGCCUACCAAGGCGACGACGGGUAGCCGGCCUGAGAGGGUGACCGGCCACACUGGGACUGAGAUACGGCCCAGACUCCUACGGGAGGCAGCAGUGGGGAAUAUUGCACAAUGGGCGCAAGCCUGAUGCAGCGACGCCGCGUGAGGGAUGACGGCCUUCGGGUUGUAAACCUCUUUCACCAGGGACGAAGCGCAAGUGACGGUACCUGGAGAAGAAGCACCGGCCAACUACGUG